Molecule: ribosomal RNA, 239 nt
Filed under: uncultured bacterium
Lineage: Bacteria
Description: partial 16S ribosomal RNA
Rfam family: Bacterial small subunit ribosomal RNA
Source: RNAcentral
GAUCUGGCUCAGGAUGAACGCUAGCUACAGGCUUAACACAUGCAAGUCGAGGGGCAGCAUGUAUCUGGCUUGCCAGAUACGAUGGCGACCGGCGCACGGGUGAGUAACGCGUAUCCGACCUGCCGCACACUCCGGGAUAGCCUUGCGAAAGCAAGUUUAAUACCGGAUGCCGUAAGGACGCCGCAUGGUGUUUUUACGAAAGGGGUUUACCGGUGUGCGAUGGGGAUGCGUCCCAUUAG